GUGGCAUUUGCUCCUAACUACUACCUAGAUGCAUGGUUGGGAUGUAGUGCAAACAAUGGCUUGAUCUAAUUCGAUUAAGUGAAUUUGUUAUUUAUUUGCUUUUCUGAGAGCAUACAAAGGCAAGGCCACCUCCAUAUAUAGUGAAAAUAGACUUAGCUUGGUCAGUUUCUAUAUUGAAGUUUUGUUUAGAAUUUUGUAUAAUGUACUAAAUAUUGGAGUUUACACUAUUAUG
RNAcentral lists this long non-coding RNA (232 nucleotides) under Elaeis guineensis (African oil palm). Its description in RNAcentral is "long non-coding RNA (EGUI_LNC045909)". Lineage: Eukaryota; Viridiplantae; Streptophyta; Magnoliopsida; Arecales; Arecaceae. The record is from RNAcentral.